CAAGGGACUUAAAGCAAAUUGAGUGCACUGGCGGAAACGCCGGAUGUAGAACUGCUCAAAGUCGGGGAAACCUGUCAGAUGGCAAUCCCGAGCCAAGCCCUGCAAGGGGAAGGUGUAGAGACUAGACGGGCAGCACCUAAGGCAAAGCUAGGGUGAAGGUAUAGUCCAGACCACAAACGCCGGAAGGCGGCG
Molecule: non-coding RNA, 192 nt
Filed under: Rhizobium leguminosarum
Lineage: Bacteria; Pseudomonadati; Pseudomonadota; Alphaproteobacteria; Hyphomicrobiales; Rhizobiaceae
Also listed under: 1 other name
Description: Group I catalytic intron
Rfam family: Group I catalytic intron
About the family: Group I catalytic introns are large self-splicing ribozymes.
Source: RNAcentral